CAACGAAAAACUUCAGAGGUCCUAAGAAGUUAAUGAAAAGGAAGUAAGACUUUGCAACUUUAUCGUAAUGAUUAAGGGCUCUGACCACAUCCAGAAUGUAUCAGCUUGUCCUGAUCACUGUCUGGCUUUGGGAAGAAGGUUCUGCAAUCUUUAACGUAUUCACCAAGACUGCCCUUGGCUCCUGAGAACAGGCACAAUACCUCAGAAACAUUGCAUGAGAUGAGAGGCUAUCAUGUCUAGAACGUCUCACCUAUGGUCCAGAGUUAUAAACACCUACGGAUGGAGACACGAGUGGAAC
Molecule: non-coding RNA, 298 nt
Organism: Pelobates cultripes (western spadefoot toad)
Lineage: Eukaryota; Metazoa; Chordata; Amphibia; Anura; Pelobatidae
Source: the annotation of a GenBank genome assembly